AUUCAGAGCAGGGCUUUGUCGCAAAGUGGGACCGAGCAGUUGUUUUCUUGUUCCAGCUGAUGGGAGCAGGCAAUUAGUGAGAUCAGCAGCACUCAUUGUUAAUUAGCAUUUCUCCAUGUGCUUCUUGUUAUCUACAAGCAUCCUGUUCCUUUUAUUGGCCUUCUUACCUAUAGUACUUGCUUUGGAGCAGCACCUUGAAGCAGACUUGGGCUCUGCUAUGGGUAAGCCUACUGUUUACUCAUCAUCUGAUGCUGUGCAUCAUCCCCCCUGAGCUACCAGGAGAGUCUCUUAAUGGUGUACCAGUUAAGGCCCCAUGGUGUCCAUGAGUUGGAGUUCAGGGGUUUUGAUCUAUUGGUUUUCAAGGAAAAAAAGGACUUGCUGUGUUCAUUCAAGAGGUGUCGAUGCUCACUCCUGCAGCCCUGCUGGGGCAGCAGCCUGGUGAGUGAUGCCUCUGUUCAUCCCCAUGCUUAUGGCACAGCAAGAGAGAGGAUUUCAUCCCUGCUGUCACCUCAGCACCAUCCACCCCUGCCAGAGGCUUGGAAAUUAAAAUAAUAAACAAAGCAACUAGAGCUGUGUGUAGAGGCUAAUGUACCAUAAUGCUCCAAAACCCAGGCAGCCACCACCCCAUGCUGAGCAGAAAGGACGUUUGAAAAAUGCAUCUUCCUCUGACAGUGAUUAUUUCAGCAUUACCUUUCUUUUAUUUUUCUUUCUACUUCAAAUAAUGCCUUCAGUUUCCCCCAGCUCAUCAUCUCCUUACAGAGAAGAGCAGAGGGCAGGGGGGAAAGGCAGAAUGAUUCCACUUCUUAAUGCAGUCAAUGGGAUUUGAAGCCCAUACACCUCUCAGGGCCUGAUCCUUGCAGUAUGGAUGGGGUGGCUGUGCUGGGACUGGGGACACAGCAGACUCUGAGCACUGAGGUUUUGUCAGCUCCCCAGCAGAGCUGUCCCUCCUCCUCUUUUUGAAAACAAACCUGAAAGUGCACAGCCAGAACCGCUGGCUUUGUUGAAAGAGCAAAAUCCACUUCGAGAUGCCACUUCUCCAAUUCAUGAACUAGCAUGGUUAUAAAGUGAAGCCUUGGGCACAAUGGCUCCAUUGUGGGGAGAAAACUUUCCAGCAAGAGGGCCAGGUCUCCAAGACCUGCAGGAUGUGGUUAGAGACUCUUUUUAAUGAAAUCACUCUUAAAAAGCAGGAAGCCCUCUGAGAAGUCUUCGUCUUGAGCAACUAAGAGCUGAAGUCCAGAUUGUAUGGCUGGCUCAGAGGAAAGAAAAGGGGAUGGAAAUGGCAUGGGUCUCACUUGGAGGAUGGAAAGUAAAGGAGGGAAGAGGAUGGACGGGACAACUGCUGUCUGGAGGAAGUGAGUUCCUGCCCAUCUGAAUAGCUGGGUGGAUUUCCACCUGGUUGCUCCAAAUGGAACCCAUAAACCAACCCAGUGGGAGCAGCUUUCAGCUGGACCUUGACAUCCCCUGGCCAGCUCCGUGCUUUGAGCACGCUGCAUGCUGGAAUCUCUGCAGGGAAACGAGCACAGGACUCCAUUGUGCCUGUGGAACCAGACAAAAUCAUCAGCCACAACAUCAGGGGAAAUAAAACCAAAUGGAUGGUAAUGCA
This 1603-nucleotide long non-coding RNA is filed under the name Phasianus colchicus (ring-necked pheasant). Its description in RNAcentral is "lncRNA (ENSPCLG00000009536.1)". The record is from RNAcentral. Lineage: Eukaryota; Metazoa; Chordata; Aves; Galliformes; Phasianidae.